GAUGAACGCUGGCGGCGUGCCUAAUACAUGCAAGUCGAGCGAACAGACGAGGAGCUUGCUCCUCUGACGUUAGCGGCGGACGGGUGAUUAACACGUGGAUAACCUACCUAUAAGACUGGGAUAACUUCGGGAAACCGGAGCUAAUACCGGAUAAUAUAUUGAACCGCAUGGUUCAAUAGUGAAAGACGGUUUUGCUGUCACUUAUAGAUGGAUCCGCGCCGCAUUAGCUAGUUGGUAAGGUAACGGCUUACCAAGGCAACGAUGCGUAGCCGACCUGAGAGGGUGAUCGGCCACACUGGAACUGAGACACGGUCCAGACUCCUACGGGAGGCAGCAGUAGGGAAUCUUCCGCAAUGGGCGAAAGCCUGACGGAGCAACGCCGCGUGAGUGAUGAAGGUCUUCGGUUCGUAAAACUCUGUUAUUAGGGAAGAACAAAUGUGUAAGUAACUAUGCACGUCUUGACGGUACCUAAUCAGAAAGCCACGGCUAACUACGUG
RNAcentral lists this ribosomal RNA (497 nucleotides) under uncultured bacterium. RNAcentral describes it as "partial 16S ribosomal RNA". It matches the Rfam family "Bacterial small subunit ribosomal RNA", at positions 28 to 507 of the family's 1533-position model. The record is from RNAcentral.